This 46-nucleotide ribosomal RNA is filed under the name Beauveria bassiana. Its description in RNAcentral is "partial 28S ribosomal RNA". Lineage: Eukaryota; Fungi; Ascomycota; Sordariomycetes; Hypocreales; Cordycipitaceae. The record is from RNAcentral.
CGUUGACCUCGAAUCAGGUAGGACUACCCGCUGAACUUAAGCAUAU